GGAUGGGUGGCCGAGCGGUUUAAGGCAGCGGUCUUGAAAACCGCCGGGCGUGCAAGCGUCCCGUGGGUUCGAAUCCCACCCCAUCCG
Molecule: transfer RNA, 87 nt
Filed under: Pseudomonadota bacterium
Lineage: Bacteria; Pseudomonadati; Pseudomonadota
Also listed under: 1 other name
Description: tRNA-Ser
Rfam family: tRNA
About the family: Transfer RNA (tRNA) molecules are approximately 80 nucleotides in length. Their secondary structure includes four short double-helical elements and three loops (D, anti-codon, and T loops).
Source: RNAcentral